GAGUUUGAUCUUGGCUCAGAUUGAACGCUGGCGGCAUGCCUUACACAUGCAAGUCGAACGGCAGCACGGGAGCAAUCCUGGUGGCGAGUGGCGAACGGGUGAGUAAUACAUCGGAACGUGCCCAGUAGUGGGGGAUAACCCGACGAAAGCCGGACUAAUACCGCAUACGACCUACGGGUGAAAGCAGGGGAUCGCAAGACCUUGCGCUAUCGGAGCGGCCGAUGUCAGAUUAGCUUGUUGGCGGGGUAAAAGCCCACCAAGGCGACGAUCUGUAGCUGGUCUGAGAGGACGACCAGCCACACUGGGACUGAGACACGGCCCAGACUCCUACGGGAGGCAGCAGUGGGGAAUUUUGGACAAUGGGCGCAAGCCUGAUCCAGCCAUGCCGCGUGCGGGAAGAAGGCC
RNAcentral lists this ribosomal RNA (405 nucleotides) under uncultured bacterium. Its description in RNAcentral is "bacterial SSU rRNA". It matches the Rfam family "Bacterial small subunit ribosomal RNA", at positions 9 to 416 of the family's 1533-position model. The record is from RNAcentral.